RNAcentral lists this ribosomal RNA (408 nucleotides) under uncultured bacterium. RNAcentral's name for it is "partial 16S ribosomal RNA". It matches the Rfam family "Bacterial small subunit ribosomal RNA", at positions 28 to 526 of the family's 1533-position model. The record is from RNAcentral.
GACGAACGCUGGCGGCGUGCUUAACACAUGCAAGUCGAACGAAGUGGCGAACGGGUGAGUAACGCGUAAUCAACCUGCCCUUCAGAGGGGAACAACAGUUGGAAACGACUGCUAAUACCGCAUACUGAAUGAGGGGUUUGGGUCUGAUUAGCUCGGUGGAGGGGUAACGGCCCACUAAGGCGAUGAUCAGUAGCAGGUCUGAGAGGAUGAACGGCCACAUUGGGACUGAGACACGGCCCAGACUCCUACGGGAGGCAGCAGUGGGGAAUCUUCCGCAAUGGACGAAAGCCUGACGGAGCAACGCCGCGUGAGUGAUGAAGGUCUUCGGAUCGUAAAACUCUGUUAUUAGGGAAGCGGUACCUAAUCAGAAAGCCACGGCUAACUACGUGCCAGCCGCCGCGGUAAUAC